GUGGCAGUAGCUCAGUUGGCCAGAGCACUGGAUUGUGGUUCCAGGGGUCGCGGGUUCAAGUCCCGUCUGCCACCCCA
This 77-nucleotide transfer RNA is filed under the name Puniceicoccales bacterium. RNAcentral describes it as "tRNA-His". It matches the Rfam family "tRNA". Rfam says of the family: Transfer RNA (tRNA) molecules are approximately 80 nucleotides in length. Their secondary structure includes four short double-helical elements and three loops (D, anti-codon, and T loops). Lineage: Bacteria; Pseudomonadati; Verrucomicrobiota; Opitutia; Puniceicoccales. The record is from RNAcentral.